AAGAAGGAUGCAGAGGACUAUGCUGGUGCGAUGGCUUCGGGGUUGAUUUGUGGCGAUGGCAUAUGGACUGUUCCGUCUGCGGUGCUUUCAAUCUUCAGGAUUGAUCCUCCAAUUUGUAUGUCAUUUGCGCCCUCUGUAGCUGGGUGAAUAUGGAAUUCGAUGAGAUCCCUGUUUGUGGUGGCGAACUUGUCUCGGUGUAUAAUUCGGGGCUAUAAACUAAGUUGUACAUAUUUCGGUGGUGGCG
This 244-nucleotide unclassified non-coding RNA is filed under the name Hevea brasiliensis (rubber tree). Lineage: Eukaryota; Viridiplantae; Streptophyta; Magnoliopsida; Malpighiales; Euphorbiaceae. The record is from RNAcentral.